RNAcentral lists this transfer RNA (65 nucleotides) under Bletilla striata. RNAcentral's name for it is "tRNA-Lys". It matches the Rfam family "tRNA". From Rfam's summary of the family: Transfer RNA (tRNA) molecules are approximately 80 nucleotides in length. Their secondary structure includes four short double-helical elements and three loops (D, anti-codon, and T loops). The record is from RNAcentral. Lineage: Eukaryota; Viridiplantae; Streptophyta; Magnoliopsida; Asparagales; Orchidaceae.
GGGUUGCUAACUCAACGGUAGAGUACUCGGCUUAUUAGAUCCGGGUUCGAGUCCCGGGCAACCCA